RNAcentral lists this ribosomal RNA (423 nucleotides) under Rossia pacifica. RNAcentral describes it as "partial 12S rRNA". The record is from RNAcentral. Lineage: Eukaryota; Metazoa; Mollusca; Cephalopoda; Sepiida; Sepiolidae.
CUACUCUUCUUUAUUUUAAAAAUUUUUAUUACUUAAGUAGUGUGAACAAUUAAUUUAUAGAGAGUAAUUAUAUUAUUAUUAGAAUGUUUGAAACUUAAAAGGCUUGGCGGUGUUAUAUAUCCUUCCAGGGGAGCUUGUUUAUUAAUUUGAUAAUCCCCAAUUUAUACUUACUUUUUUUUGAAUAAUUAGACAAAUCAGUUUGUGUAUUGCUGUCAUCAGUUUAUUUUGUAAAAAUUUUAUAAGAAACUUAAUAAUGAGUUAAUUACGAUGUCAAGUCAAAAUGCAGCUAAUAAAAAAGGUUUAUAAAGUGAGCUACAAUUUAUAAUUUUUAAAUCGGAUUAAAUUAUGUAAUUGAUUUAUGAAGUUGGACUUGGUAGUAAUAUUAUAAUAGUAAGUUUUUAUGAAUUAGGUUUUAUAACGCGU